RNAcentral lists this ribosomal RNA (421 nucleotides) under uncultured bacterium. Its description in RNAcentral is "bacterial SSU rRNA". It matches the Rfam family "Bacterial small subunit ribosomal RNA", at positions 355 to 774 of the family's 1533-position model. The record is from RNAcentral.
UAAGGAAUAUUGGUCAAUGGACGCAGGUCUGAACCAGCCAUGCCGCGUGAAGGAUGAAGGUCCUCUGGAUUGUAAACUUCUUUUAUCUGGGACGAAAACGGGAUUUUUAUCUCAAUUGACGGUACCAGAGGAAUAAGCACCGGCUAACUCCGUGCCAGCAGCCGCGGUAAUACGGAGGGUGCGAGCGUUAUCCGGAUUUACUGGGUUUAAAGGGUGCGUAGGUGGGCUUAUAAGUCAGUGGUGAAAUCUCCGAGCUUAACUUGGAAACUGCCGUUGAUACUAGAGGUCUUGAAUUAUCUGGAGGUAAGCGGAAUAUGCCAUGUAGCGGUGAAAUGCUUAGAUAUGACAUAGAACACCAAUUGCGAAGGCAGCUUACUACAUAUAAAUUGACGCUGAGGCACGAAAGCGUGGGGAUCAAACA